Molecule: transfer RNA, 74 nt
Rfam family: tRNA
About the family: Transfer RNA (tRNA) molecules are approximately 80 nucleotides in length. Their secondary structure includes four short double-helical elements and three loops (D, anti-codon, and T loops).
GCCUGUUUAGCUUAGCUGGUUAAAACGUCUGCCUCAUACGCGGAUUGUCAUUAGUUUAAAUCAAGUAACAGGCA